UACGGAGGGUGCAAGCGUUAUCCGGAUUCACUGGGCUUAAAGGGUGCGUAGGUGGGCAGGUAAGUCAGUUGUGAAAUCUCCGGGCUUAACUCGGAAAGGUCAACUGAUACUGCGCGGCUAGAGUGCGGAAGGGGCAACUGGAAUUCACGGUGUAGCAGUGAAAUGCGUAGAUAUCGUGAGGAACACCAGAGGCGAAGGCGGUUACCUGGACAAUUACUGACGCUCAGGCACGAAAGCAUGGGGAGCAAAAGGG
This 253-nucleotide ribosomal RNA is filed under the name uncultured bacterium. RNAcentral's name for it is "partial 16S ribosomal RNA". It matches the Rfam family "Bacterial small subunit ribosomal RNA", at positions 524 to 776 of the family's 1533-position model. The record is from RNAcentral.